CCAAUAGCGUAUAUUAAAGUUGUUGCAGUUAAAAAGCUCGUAGUUGAAUUUCGGGGUCAGUAGGUUGGUCAUGCCACUGGUAUGUACUGGCCUCACUGAUUCCUCCUUCCUGAUGAGCCGUAAUGCCAUUAAUUUGGUGUUGCGAGGAAUCUGGACUGUUACUUUGAAAAAAUUAGAGUGUUUAAAGCAGGCUAACGCUUGAAUACAUUAGCAUGGAAUAAUGAAAUAGGACGUUCGAUCUUAUUUUGUUGGUUUCUAAGAUUGACGUAAUGAUUAAUAGGGAUAGUUGGGGGCAUUAGUAUUCAAUUGUCAGAGGUGAAAUUCUUGGAUUUAUUGAAGACUAACUACUGCGAAAGCAUUUGCCAAGGAUGUUUUCAUUAAUCAAGAACGAAAGUUAGGGGAUCGAAGACGAUCAGAUACCGUCGUAGUCUUAACCAUAAACUAUGCCGACUAGGGAUCGGAUGAUGUUAAUUUUUUAAUGACUCAUUCGGCGCCUUAC
This 499-nucleotide ribosomal RNA is filed under the name uncultured Glomeromycotina. RNAcentral describes it as "partial small subunit ribosomal RNA". It matches the Rfam family "Eukaryotic small subunit ribosomal RNA", at positions 591 to 1091 of the family's 1831-position model. Lineage: Eukaryota; Fungi; Glomeromycota. The record is from RNAcentral.